AAACCAAUCAAUGAUUCUCCUGGGUGCUUUCAGCUCUUGGAACCGGGGAAGGAAGCAGCACCCAUGAAAACCCUCAGCCUCCCAGGAAGAAAAGGGCCCCCGGGUUGACCCCAGUGUUGAAAGCGAGGAAACGUUUAUGAACAGAGUGGAAGUCAAAGUGAAAAUACCAGAAGAGCUGAAACCGUGGCUAGUCGAUGACUGGGACCUGAUCACCCGGCAAAAGCAGAGAACAUGCUGUGAAGGAAGUCGUGGCCGGCAUCAAGGAGUACUUCAGCGUCAUGCUGGGCACGCAGCUGCUGUAUAAGUUUGAGCGGCCGCAGUCCGCCGAGGUCUUGGCCGACCACCCCGAUUCGCCCAUGUCCCAGGUGUCUGGCGCGCCCCACCUCCUGCGGCUGUUCGUCGGAUUGGCGCAAUGCUGGCCUACACACCUCUCGAUAAGAAGAGUUUGGCCCUGCUGUUGAACGACUUACACGAUUUCCUGAGUAUCUUGCCAAGAAUUCCUCUGCGUUGUUUAGCGCAAGAGACUAUGAGGUUGCGCCUCCCGAGUAUCACCGGAAAUCCAUGUAAGCCUCUCUCUGAGAGGUGGGAAAGGGGACUGCUGGGAGCGGGGACCCGUUACCGGAAAAUGGGGUCCUUGUUUCACUGCGGCCACACAGCUGCCCACUUCCACGUUCCUCCAUGGCCUCCCCUCCUGUGCAGUUGACACGAGGCUCAGCGGAUAUUACGUCUUUGGAUGGAACUGAUGCCAAGUAGCCACAGUCAGAACAGACCACGGAACAGGAGACGGGUUCAAGAUUGGGAGAGGAGUACGGACAUCAGGGCUGCAUCCUCUCACCCUCCCUGUUCAACUUGUACGCAGAAGACAUCAUGCAACGUAUGUGCGGGGCUUGACGAAUCCAAGGCUGGAGUUAAAAUUGCUGGAAGAAACAUUAUCAACCUUAGGUAUGCAGAUGAUACCACUCUGAUGAAAGCUGAAAGUGAGGAGGAGCCAAGGUGGAAGAAAGAAGAGUGCGCAAAAGCCGGGCUGCAGUUAAACAUCAAGAAAACUAAGGUGAUGGCAACCAGACCGAUUGACAACUGGCCAAGAGAGGGAGAAAACGUGGAGGCCGUGACAGACUUCAUAUUUCUAGGCGUGAAGAUCACUGCAGAUGCAGACUGCAGGCAGGAAAUCAGAAAAGUUUCCUUCUUGGGAGCAAUACUCU
Long non-coding RNA from Anolis carolinensis (green anole), 1202 nucleotides. RefSeq lists it as uncharacterized. Lineage: Eukaryota; Metazoa; Chordata; Lepidosauria; Squamata; Anolidae. The record is from RefSeq and is a predicted model, not a curated record. The transcript has 5 exons.